This 395-nucleotide unclassified non-coding RNA is filed under the name soil metagenome. RNAcentral's name for it is "partial contains 5.8S ribosomal RNA, internal transcribed spacer 2, and large subunit ribosomal RNA". The stretch from base 1 to 122 matches the Rfam family "5.8S ribosomal RNA", at positions 35 to 154 of the family's 154-position model. The record is from RNAcentral.
GAUGAAGAACGUAGCGAAAUGCGAUACUUGGUGUGAAUUGCAGAAUCCCGUGAACCAUCGAGUCUUUGAACGCAAGUUGCGCCCGAAGCCAUCAGGUUGAGGGCACGUCUGCCUGGGCCUCACAUAUCGUUGCCCAAUGCCUAUUGCAGUGCAAUAGGAAUUUCUAGGGCGAAUGAUGGCUUCCCGUGAGCGUUGUUGCCUCGCGGUUGGUUGAAAAUCGAGUCCUUGGUAGGGUGUGCCAUGGUAGAUGGUGGUCGAGUUAGAACGAUACCGAUCAUGUGCAUGCUCCCCAAAAUAUGGCCUCUAUGACCCACACGCGUCUUUUGACGCUCAUGACGAGACCUCAGGUCAGGCGGGGCUACCCGCUGAAUUUAAGCAUAUCAAUAAGCGGAGGA